UUAGCUAGAGAAUCUAAGAGAUUAAAAUUUUGAGAGAGAAAAGGAAGAUAUUUAUGUAUUUUGUUUAAACAAAAAGGAAUUAAUUUGAUUGGUUGGACUAUAAUAUAAUAUAAUAUUUUAUUUUCCUUUUAUUUUUAAAAAGAAAUUAAUUUGAUUGGUUGGACUAUAAUAUAAUAUUUUAUUUUAUUUUCCUUUUAUUUUUUGUCUUUCCUUUUUCUUUUUUUUUCUUUUUUUUUUCUAUUUUUCUCUCUCUUCCCUUUCCCUUCUUCUUCUAGCUGCCAAACCCCUCAUCUCCACCUCUCUCUCUGCAACCAGCACGUCCGCCCAACCGUCGCCGGAUCUGAAGUCGUCCGCACAGCUCUGUUCGUUGUCGCGCCGUCGCUCAACUGAAGAUCUAAAGCCGUUCGUCGGAUCUGAAGCCGUUCGCCGCAGCUCUAUUCCUUCGGGUUACGUUCAACCGACCAUCCGACAACCGCUUCUAAGAUCUGGCCAACGGCCAUCAGUCUUUUCGUUGUUGAACGCUGCCGCUUGGGUUUUCGCUGGAUCUUGAGUUUUGGUGAAUUUGAGGAUAUUAAACCUGAAGGAAAUCGGAUUCGAGAUUUUCAUGAGCAACGGAUAAAAGAUAAUUCCAAAUCACAAUCAUGAAUGAACAAUACAUUUACAGUCGACUUCAAACAAGCGGUUAUAUAAUUCACAGAGAAAUUACAGCAUGAAAAAAACUCAAAUGCACAAAGGGAAAAACUGUAUGAACAAUUGCAGAUGCGUCUCCACGCUCCUUUGCGCACGACCGUUCGAACAACAGUAACUUUGAACGCUUGAUUUACACGACUGCAACACGGCAAUGAACAUAGCACGAACACUUCGCGCUCAUCCUCAACAAUCACCUCGACCACGAACUCCUCAACAACAGCACGAACAGCCUCCACAACACCUCGAUGGUGUCGAGUUGAGUAUGACACCACCAACAAGGCUACCUUGGUAUUCUCGGUGUGAGAAUCCAGAGGGUAGGCUCUGUUCGAACUUGGAAUGAGGUAGACGAAAAAGGAAACACCGAUCGUGUACACGACUGGGCAAGUGGGAGAUGGCGGAGACCUAUCAUAUAGGUCGAUGCCCAAUUGUUUAACUAAAUCUAAGCAAUUGUCUAGCAAAAACUAUGCGAUCGUUUAGCUCAUCGCUUAGCUCGGUCUGUCACCUACAGACUCUACACGAUCGUUUACUUUGGGCAAGCGAUCGUCUAGCAAAAUUAUGUGAUCGUUUAGUAAAUACUGCAUGAUCGUUUAGCUCGCCACUACACGAUUGUUUAGCUCGUCCAGCCGUUGUUUAGUAAAUCCGUAUUUACUUGACGACUACGUGAGUUUCUUUUGUGCGAGAGAGAAAUCUCCAAAACUUUUUAUCAGUUUGUAAAUCUUACUCAAAUUAGGAAAACCAUU
Benincasa hispida (wax gourd) is the source of this 1430-nucleotide long non-coding RNA. RefSeq lists it as uncharacterized. The record is from RefSeq and is a predicted model, not a curated record. NCBI's taxonomy places the organism in Eukaryota, Viridiplantae, Streptophyta, Magnoliopsida, Cucurbitales, Cucurbitaceae.